GACGAACGCUGGCGGCGUGCUUAACACAUGCAAGUCGAACGGAGUGGCGAACGGGUGAGUAACCCGGGGGUGAACUUCCUUGCACUUCGGGAUAAGCUGGGGAAACUGGGUCUAAUACCGGAUAGUGCAAGAUGAGCUCGGGGCCUAUCAGCUUGGUGGUGGGGUAAUGGUCUACCAAGGCGUCGACGGGUAGCCGGCCUGAGAGUGUGUACGGCCACCUUGGGACUGAGGUAGGGAGCAGACGGCAACGGGAGGCAGUGGUGGGGAAUAUGUCACAAUGGGCGGAAGUCUGAUGAGGCGACGCCGGGUGGGGGAUGAAGUGUUUUGGGUUGUAAACUCCUUUCGUCAGGGACGCGGUACCUGUAUAAGAAGCACCGGCUAACUACGUGCCAGCAGCCGCGGUAAUAC
Molecule: ribosomal RNA, 408 nt
Filed under: uncultured bacterium
Lineage: Bacteria
Description: partial 16S ribosomal RNA
Rfam family: Bacterial small subunit ribosomal RNA
Source: RNAcentral